GACGUAGGGCGCGAGCGUUGUCCGGAUUUAUUGGGCGUAAAGAGCUCGUAGGCGGCUUGUUGCGUCGACUGUGAAAACCUGCGGCUCAACCGUGUGGUCUGCAGUCGAUACGGGCAGGCUGGAGUUCGGUAGGGGAGACUGGAAUUCCUGGUGUAGCAGUGAAAUGCGUAGAGAUCAUGAGGAAGACCAGUGGCGAAGGCGGGGCUCUGGACAGUUCCUGACACUGAGACACGAAGGCCAGGGGAGCAAACGGG
This 254-nucleotide ribosomal RNA is filed under the name uncultured bacterium. Its description in RNAcentral is "partial 16S ribosomal RNA". It matches the Rfam family "Bacterial small subunit ribosomal RNA", at positions 524 to 776 of the family's 1533-position model. The record is from RNAcentral.